This 693-nucleotide ribosomal RNA is filed under the name uncultured Leuconostoc sp. RNAcentral describes it as "bacterial SSU rRNA". It matches the Rfam family "Bacterial small subunit ribosomal RNA", at positions 8 to 683 of the family's 1533-position model. The record is from RNAcentral. Lineage: Bacteria; Bacillati; Bacillota; Bacilli; Lactobacillales; Lactobacillaceae.
AGAGUUUGAUCCUGGCUCAGGAUGAACGCUGGCGGCGUGCCUAAUACAUGCAAGUCGAACGCGCAGCGAAAGGUGCUUGCACCUUUCAAGCGAGUGGCGAACGGGUGAGUAACACGUGGAUAACCUGCCUCAAGGCUGGGGAUAACAUUUGGAAACAGAUGCUAAUACCGAAUAAAACUUAGUAUCGCAUGAUACAAAGUUGAAAGGCGCUACGGCGUCACCUAGAGAUGGGUCCGCGGUUCAUUAGUUAGUUGGUGGGGUAAAGGCCUACCAAGACAAUGAUGCAUAGCCGAGUUGAGAGACUGAUCGGCCACAUUGGGACUGAGACACGGCCCAAACUCCUACGGGAGGCUGCAGUAGGGAAUCUUCCACAAUGGGCGAAAGCCUGAUGGAGCAACGCCGCGUGUGUGAUGAAGGCUUUAGGGUCGUAAAGCACUGUUGUAUGGGAAGAAAUGCUAGAAUAGGGAAUGAUUCUAGUUCGACGGUACCAUACCAGAAAGGGACGGCUAAAUACGUGCCAGCAGCCGCGGUAAUACGUAUGUCCCGAGCGUUAUCCGGAUUUAUUGGGCGUAAAGCGAGCGCAGACGGCUGAUUAAGUCUGAUGUGAAAGCCCGGAGCUCAACUCCGGAAUGGCAUUGGAAACUGGUUAACUUGAGUGUUGUAGAGGUAAGUGGAACUCCAUGUGUAGCGGUG